Molecule: ribosomal RNA, 2621 nt
Filed under: Vibrio cholerae
Lineage: Bacteria; Pseudomonadati; Pseudomonadota; Gammaproteobacteria; Vibrionales; Vibrionaceae
Description: partial 23S ribosomal RNA
Rfam family: Bacterial large subunit ribosomal RNA
Source: RNAcentral
AACUGAAUACAUAGGUUAACAGAGCAAACCGGGGGAACUGAAACAUCUAAGUACCCCGAGGAGAAGAAAUCAACCGAGAUUCCGGUAGUAGCGGCGAGCGAACCUGGAUUAGCCCUUAAGCACUCGGUGAAGUAGGUGAACAAGCUGGAAAGCUUGGCGAUACAGGGUGAUAGCCCCGUAACCGACGCUUCAUCGAGCGUGAAAUCGAGUAGGGCGGGACACGUGAUAUCCUGUCUGAAUAUGGGGGGACCAUCCUCCAAGGCUAAAUACUCCUGACUGACCGAUAGUGAACCAGUACCGUGAGGGAAAGGCGAAAAGAACCCCUGUGAGGGGAGUGAAAUAGAACCUGAAACCGUGUACGUACAAGCAGUAGGAGCACCUUCGUGGUGUGACUGCGUACCUUUUGUAUAAUGGGUCAGCGACUUAUAUUCAGUGGCAAGGUUAACCGUAUAGGGGAGCCGUAGCGAAAGCGAGUCUUAACUGGGCGCUCAGUCUCUGGAUAUAGACCCGAAACCGGGUGAUCUAGCCAUGGGCAGGUUGAAGGUUGAGUAACAUCAACUGGAGGACCGAACCGACUAAUGUUGAAAAAUUAGCGGAUGACUUGUGGCUAGGGGUGAAAGGCCAAUCAAACUCGGAGAUAGCUGGUUCUCCCCGAAAGCUAUUUAGGUAGCGCCUCGGACGAAUACUACUGGGGGUAGAGCACUGUUAAGGCUAGGGGGUCAUCCCGACUUACCAACCCUUUGCAAACUCCGAAUACCAGUAAGUACUAUCCGGGAGACACACGGCGGGUGCUAACGUCCGUCGUGGAGAGGGAAACAACCCAGACCGCCAGCUAAGGUCCCAAAGUAUUGCUAAGUGGGAAACGAUGUGGGAAGGCUCAGACAGCUAGGAUGUUGGCUUAGAAGCAGCCAUCAUUUAAAGAAAGCGUAAUAGCUCACUAGUCGAGUCGGCCUGCGCGGAAGAUGUAACGGGGCUAAGCAAUACACCGAAGCUGCGGCAAUAUCUUUUAGAUAUUGGGUAGGGGAGCGUUCUGUAAGCCGUUGAAGGUGAAUCGUAAGGUUUGCUGGAGGUAUCAGAAGUGCGAAUGCUGACAUGAGUAACGACAAAGGGGGUGAAAAACCUCCUCGCCGGAAGACCAAGGGUUCCUGUCCAACGUUAAUCGGGGCAGGGUGAGUCGACCCCUAAGGUGAGGCCGAAAGGCGUAAUCGAUGGGAAACGGGUUAAUAUUCCCGUACUUCUGACUAUUGCGAUGGGGGGACGGAGAAGGCUAGGUGGGCCAGGCGACGGUUGUCCUGGUUCAAGUGCGUAGGCUUGAGAGUUAGGUAAAUCCGGCUCUCUCUAAGGCUGAGACACGACGUCGAGCUGCUACGGCAGUGAAGUCAUUGAUGCCAUGCUUCCAGGAAAAGCCUCUAAGCUUCAGAUAGUCAGGAAUCGUACCCCAAACCGACACAGGUGGUCGGGUAGAGAAUACCAAGGCGCUUGAGAGAACUCGGGUGAAGGAACUAGGCAAAAUGGUACCGUAACUUCGGGAGAAGGUACGCUCUUGAUGGUGAAGUCCCUCGCGGAUGGAGCUGACGAGAGUCGCAGAUACCAGGUGGCUGCAACUGUUUAUUAAAAACACAGCACUGUGCAAAAUCGCAAGAUGACGUAUACGGUGUGACGCCUGCCCGGUGCCGGAAGGUUAAUUGAUGGGGUUAGCGCAAGCGAAGCUCUUGAUCGAAGCCCCGGUAAACGGCGGCCGUAACUAUAACGGUCCUAAGGUAGCGAAAUUCCUUGUCGGGUAAGUUCCGACCUGCACGAAUGGCGUAAUGAUGGCCACGCUGUCUCCACCCGAGACUCAGUGAAAUUGAAAUCGCUGUGAAGAUGCAGUGUACCCGCGGCUAGACGGAAAGACCCCGUGAACCUUUACUACAGCUUGACACUGAACAUUGAACCUACAUGUGUAGGAUAGGUGGGAGGCUAUGAAGACGUGACGCCAGUUGCGUUGGAGCCGUCCUUGAAAUACCACCCUUGUAUGUUUGAUGUUCUAACUUAGACCCAUUAUCUGGGUUGAGGACAGUGCCUGGUGGGUAGUUUGACUGGGGCGGUCUCCUCCCAAAGAGUAACGGAGGAGCACGAAGGUGGGCUAAUCACGGUUGGACAUCGUGAGGUUAGUGCAAUGGCAUAAGCCCGCUUAACUGCGAGAAUGACGGUUCGAGCAGGUGCGAAAGCAGGUCAUAGUGAUCCGGUGGUUCUGUAUGGAAGGGCCAUCGCUCAACGGAUAAAAGGUACUCCGGGGAUAACAGGCUGAUACCGCCCAAGAGUUCAUAUCGACGGCGGUGUUUGGCACCUCGAUGUCGGCUCAUCACAUCCUGGGGCUGAAGUCGGUCCCAAGGGUAUGGCUGUUCGCCAUUUAAAGUGGUACGCGAGCUGGGUUUAGAACGUCGUGAGACAGUUCGGUCCCUAUCUGCCGUGGGCGUUGGAAGAUUGAAGGGGGCUGCUCCUAGUACGAGAGGACCGGAGUGGACGAACCUCUGGUGUUCGGGUUGUGUCGCCAGACGCAUUGCCCGGUAGCUAAGUUCGGAAUUGAUAAGCGCUGAAAGCAUCUAAGCGCGAAGCGAGCCCUGAGAUGAGUCUUCCCU